This 680-nucleotide long non-coding RNA is filed under the name Varroa destructor (honeybee mite). RNAcentral's name for it is "uncharacterized LOC111244892, transcript variant X2". Lineage: Eukaryota; Metazoa; Arthropoda; Arachnida; Mesostigmata; Varroidae. The record is from RNAcentral.
GGGGCGUUUUACGAGCGCUAUGGUGCAGACUUUACAAAAUCAAAAAUAGCGCCGAAAGCUAGGCUCUGGAUGAAUUGCAUACGCCCAUAUUGAUGCUCGGACGAUUUUGCUUUCAUCGAACCUGUGCGUCCACGUUUUGUUACCUAUGCACAUUCAACUGCUUGUGAGUGAAUUCCAAGGAAGUGUUUAUAACAGUUAGCACGAUUUGCAAAGUCGACGACAACCAUCAGCUUCGCAGCGCCAAAUCUAAAUAUAUACAUAUAUAUUAAAAAAUAAUUCGCGACCAAUGGCUCUGCCCGGGAAUACUAGUUUGCUCCCAUCGCUAACAUGAAUUUCGACUCGAUCCUGACUCGGAAACAACAUCGAUACGAAAAACAGGACAAAUACGAACGAAGGCCAAAGUUUGCGUAAAAUGUUUAAAUUCAAGAGAGGUGCACUGCGGGAACUAGGCACGGAUAUGUGGCAUGUUUGAAUUUUCAUGGCCGUGCAAAUGUUUCUGAUGUGGAAAGGAAGUAUCUAUGCUACAGUAUCUCCACGACAAGAAGUACACGAACACCCUCGGAGAGAUUCAUGUAGAAGCUGGGUAACUACGAGGUCGAUCGGACCUCAUAGCUUCAGUAGCAGUAAAGCCCUACGAGACUAAAGCGGGAAGCAAUAACAUGGCUUAGAAUAAAAGUGGG